AGAGUUUGAUCAUGGCUCAGGACGAACGCUGGCGGCGUGCUUAACACAUGCAAGUCGAGCGGAAAGGCCCUUCGGGGUACUCGAGCGGCGAACGGGUGAGUAACACGUGAGCAAUCUGCCCUUAGCUUCGGGAUAGCUCCGGGAAACCGGAAUUAAUACCGGAUACGACCGCGGUCGGCAUCAGCCGUGGUGGAAAGAUU
This 200-nucleotide ribosomal RNA is filed under the name uncultured bacterium. RNAcentral describes it as "partial 16S ribosomal RNA". It matches the Rfam family "Bacterial small subunit ribosomal RNA", at positions 8 to 210 of the family's 1533-position model. The record is from RNAcentral.